Molecule: ribosomal RNA, 253 nt
Filed under: uncultured bacterium
Lineage: Bacteria
Description: partial 16S ribosomal RNA
Rfam family: Bacterial small subunit ribosomal RNA
Source: RNAcentral
UACGUAGGGGGCUAGCGUUGUCCGGAUUUAUUGGGCGUAAAGAGCGUGUAGGCGGCCAGGUAGGUCUGCUGUGAAAACUCGAGGCUCAACCUCGAGACGUCGGCGGAAACCAUCUGGCUAGAGUCCGGAAGAGGAGAGUGGAAUUCCUGGUGUAGCGGUGAAAUGCGUAGAUAUCGGGAGGAACACCAGUGGCGAAGGCGACUUUCUGGCCUGUUCUUGACGCUGAGGCGCGAAAGCUAGGGGAGCAAACGGG